RNAcentral lists this ribosomal RNA (454 nucleotides) under uncultured organism. Its description in RNAcentral is "partial 16S ribosomal RNA". It matches the Rfam family "Bacterial small subunit ribosomal RNA", at positions 331 to 801 of the family's 1533-position model. The record is from RNAcentral.
GUACACUCCUGCGGGAGGCAGCAGUGGGGAAUAUUGGACAAUGGGCGCAAGCCUGAUCCAGCCAUGCCGCGUGAGUGAUGAAGGCCCUAGGGUUGUAAAGCUCUUUCACCGGAGAAGAUAAUGACAGUAUCCGGAGAAGAAGCCCCGGCUAACUUCGUGCCAGCAGCCGCGGUAAUACGAAGGGGGCUAGCGUUGUUCGGAAUUACUGGGCGUAAAGCGCACGUAGGCGGAUCGAUCAGUCAGGGGUGAAAUCCCAGGGCUCAACCCUGGAACUGCCUUUGAUACUGUCGAUCUGGAGUAUGGAAGAGGUGAGUGGAAUUCCGAGUGUAGAGGUGAAAUUCGUAGAUAUUCGGAGGAACACCAGUGGCGAAGGCGGCUCACUGGUCCAUUACUGACGCUGAGGUGCGAAAGCGUGGGGAGCAAACAGGAUUAGAUACCCCGGUAGUCCCAUGAU